UAUGGUGCCGUCCCUAACUUUAGAGAUGAUGGUCAUAGGAUGAGCAGGUCCCUCCCCUGGCCAGGAUGGGAUCCGUCAGGAAGACUGUUUAUAUCCUUAGGUUGAGGAUUAUUCAUUCCUUUUGAUGGAUGAGAAAACUGAGACUUCAAGAGGUUCAAUGCUGAGAGUCACACUACUAGAGAAUGGUGGAAUGUGAGCCCCCCUAUCCAAGAAUCUCUAGAGGCAAGCAUUGCCUGGAGAGGCCUCCAGUUUGGUUGGCAGAGUGGUGACCAGCUGACCAAUUGGACGGGGCUCUUUAAUGUCACAGAUGAUUCAGCAGUGCAGAGCAGCAGUGACUCCAGCUCCAGGUACUUUGAAUUUUAUGAGGGGCCUUUUGAAUAUAACUCCACAAGAUGCCUGGAGCUGAGGCACGAAAUAUUGGAAGUGAAGGUGCUGUCCAUGGUGAAGCAGUCAGAGCUGUUCGACAGGUGGAAGAGCCUCCAGAUGUGCAAAUGGGCGAUGAACAUCUCUGAGGCCAACCAGUUCAAAAGAACACUCCCCUGGGGACAAAGCUCAAGUAUGAGGUGGACACCAGUGGCAUCUACCACAUCAACCAGGAGAUCUUCCGCAUGUUUCCCAAGGACAUGCCCUACUACCGGUCCCAGUUUAAGAAGUGUGCUGUGGUGGGCAACGGAGGCAUCUUGAAGAACAGCCGCUGCGGGAGGGAGAUCAACAGCGCCGACUUCGUCUUCCGGUGCAACCUGCCCCCCAUCUCAGAGAAGUACACCAUGGACGUGGGGGUGAAGACGGAUGUGGUCACUGUGAACCCCAGCAUCAUCACAGAGAGGUUCCACAAGCUGGAGAAGUGGCGGCGGCCGUUCUACCGCGUGCUGCAGGUGUACGAGAACGCGUCGGUGCUGCUGCCUGCCUUCUACAACACGCGCAACACCGACGUGUCCAUCCGCGUCAAGUAUGUGCUGGACGACUUCGAGUCGCCGCAAGCUGUCUACUACUUCCACCCGCAGUACCUGGUCAACGUGUCGCGCUACUGGCUCAGCCUGGGGGUGCGCGCCAAGCGCAUCAGCACCGGCCUCAUUCUGGUCACUGCGGCGCUGGAGCUCUGUGAGGAGGUGCACCUCUUCGGCUUCUGGGCCUUCCCCAUGAACCCCUCGGGCCUCUACAUCACUCACCACUACUAUGACAACGUCAAGCCGCGUCCCGGCUUCCACGCCAUGCCCUCGGAGAUCUUCAACUUCCUGCACUUGCACAGCCGAGGCAUCCUCCGCGUGCACACGGGCACCUGCAGCUGCUGCUGAUGGCUGCCGGCCAGGCUGCCCGGCAAGCGGCGCCUCCUCUCCUGCUGUCCCUCCCGGUGGAACUGGGAGCCCCGAACCGGGCAGCGUGGGGGCCUGGCGUUCAGGCUGUCUCUCCCUCCGUAGUUCAGCCCUGUACUUGGAUCCUGGGGUGGGGAGGCAGGGUUAGGAACCGGGGCAGAGUCAGCUCUGUGCUGAGCCUCCUGGCCUGGCCCCCACUGGUGCGUCCGCCCAAUGCCUCCACCUGCCCUGGCUAGCAUGCUGCUGGGCCACACCCCAAGAUCUGGGGCCCUGGGGACGGCAAGUGAAUAAAGCACAUUUCCACCCAAUUUUGUCAUCCGAGAGAGAGCACAAACUUCAGGCCCUUGUUGCAGCUGAAGGAAGGCCCUACACAGAAUGGAACUGAGAGUGGAGACAGGACACUUCACAGGACACUUGAGCCCAGUCAAGAUUUUAUUCACACUUUUGGUUCCUGAGUUUUAUAUCGAGGACUUAGCUAUGAAUUGCUAGCUAAAUCUCAGAGCUUAGAAGCCAAGCCAGUGACUAGACCUUCCAGUGAAGAAAGUGAUCUCAAGAGGUCCAGGGACUUAACAGCCAAGCCACACCAUCCAACAGGUUCUUCUGUGACACCGAGAGAUCUAACGCAAGGCCUGGGUUAUGUCUUAGUCGAGACGUCAUCAUCUGAGAAGCACCACAUCCUUUCAGACACAUCCUCGGACAAACAUGCAGUCUUGGUGCCCCCAGGUUCAAUCCUGCGUUAGCUCUUUUGAUGAGAAGGAAAUAAACCAAACCAGCCACUUGC
RNAcentral lists this small RNA (2094 nucleotides) under Pongo abelii (Sumatran orangutan). RNAcentral's name for it is "processed transcript". The record is from RNAcentral. Lineage: Eukaryota; Metazoa; Chordata; Mammalia; Primates; Hominidae.